UUUUUUUUUUCUUUUAUCAAUUACAAGUAACCUUUAGAUAAUAACACACAUCCGCGUAAAGAACAAUUGAAACGGUUCCUGUUAAGUAUAACGGAUGUGAGGGGUUCUAAUACUUUCCCCUUUCAUAAUCGACCUCCUUACCUUUUUUAUCUUCCCCUUGGGUUUUAUCGAUAUUUUCUCUUUCCUUUGGGAAUAAAUAAAGUUCGAUGGAGACUUUGUUGUAUCUUCGAGCGUAGGAUUUUC
RNAcentral lists this long non-coding RNA (243 nucleotides) under Lathyrus oleraceus (garden pea). Its description in RNAcentral is "Pisum sativum (pea) long non-coding RNA (PSAT_LNC032085)". The record is from RNAcentral. Lineage: Eukaryota; Viridiplantae; Streptophyta; Magnoliopsida; Fabales; Fabaceae.